UUAUAUAAAGUUAAGAAAACUUUAAGUUAUUAACUAAGUAUAUUUAUUUUUAUUUUUAUUUUUACUUUUAAAUUAAUUUUAAUUAAUAAUAAUAAUUUAUUUUAUAAUUAUUAUUAAUUAUUUUUUUUUAAAUAAAAUUUACUUUUUAAAAUAACUUAUUUUUUAAUAUUAUUAUAAACUUAUAAAUAUAUCUAGUAUAUAAUAAAAUUUAUUUAAUUAUUUUAAUAUUAUAUUAGAAUUUUUAUAUACU
RNAcentral lists this transfer RNA (250 nucleotides) under Metarhizium anisopliae. RNAcentral describes it as "tRNA-Asn". The record is from RNAcentral. Lineage: Eukaryota; Fungi; Ascomycota; Sordariomycetes; Hypocreales; Clavicipitaceae.